UGGGGAAUUUUGGACAAUGGGGGCAACCCUGAUCCAGCAAUGCCGCGUGUGUGAAGAAGGCCUUCGGGUUGUAAAGCACUUUUGUCCGGAAAGAAAACGCCGUGGUUAAUACCCGUGGCGGAUGACGGUACCGGAAGAAUAAGCACCGGCUAACUACGUGCCAGCAGCCGCGGUAAUACGUAGGGUGCAAGCGUUAAUCGGAAUUACUGGGCGUAAAGCGUGCGCAGGCGGUCCGCUAAGACAGAUGUGAAAUCCCCGGGCUUAACCUGGGAACUGCAUUGGUGACUGGCAGGCUAGAGUAUGGCAGAGGGGGGUAGAAUUCCACGUGUAGCAGUGAAAUGCGUAGAGAUGUGGAGGAAUACCGAUGGCGAAGGCAGCCCCCUGGGCCAAUACUGACGCUCAUGCACGAAAGCGUGGGGGAGCAAACAGGAUUAGAUACCCUGGUAGUCCACGCCCUAAACGAUGUCAACUAGUUGUUGGGGAUUCAUUUCCUUAGUAACGUAGCUAACGCGUGAAGUUGACCGCCUGGGGAGUACGGUCGCAAGAUUAAAACUCAAAUGAAUUGACGGGGUCAUA
RNAcentral lists this ribosomal RNA (576 nucleotides) under uncultured bacterium. RNAcentral's name for it is "partial 16S ribosomal RNA". It matches the Rfam family "Bacterial small subunit ribosomal RNA", at positions 355 to 923 of the family's 1533-position model. The record is from RNAcentral.